Long non-coding RNA from Notolabrus celidotus (New Zealand spotty), 748 nucleotides. RefSeq lists it as uncharacterized. NCBI's taxonomy places the organism in Eukaryota, Metazoa, Chordata, Actinopteri, Labriformes, Labridae. The transcript is spliced from 2 exons. The record is from RefSeq and is a predicted model, not a curated record.
UGCUGGCCGAGUGAAAGUGGCAGCCCGGGCUUAAACAACUGAUAAUGACAGGUGUCGCGUUCAAUUUAGUAUCCGGGUCAGAAUCACUUUCAAACAACAGCUUUCCAAGAAGUUCCAGAGAGGCAAACGUGUUCUGAAAACACUUGCUACUAAACAGGUUUCCCCACUUCAGCAUUAUUUCAUACCGUCUCACUGCUUUAGUGAAAGUAUACCGCUUAUUUGCGAAGUAGAGGGGGGCUUAUUCUGGCAGGGGUGCCAAAUUUGGCAAAACACGGCGGGUCCAGACUGAAAACAGAAGCGUCAGGCUAACGGAGAGAGAGAGUUUGCUUCUCAUAAAGACUACAGAAGCAAAAAAAACAACUCAAAUGUCUUCCAGCUUCGUCCUCCCUCAUCAUGUCACUAUCAUACAACCACUACAAACAACUAAAAACCAGAUUACCUUCGUCAACGGUUCGGUUUUUGCAGUUGGGCUCGAUGUGAUUUCUGCUCCUCAACCCGCUCACCUCCGCCAUCUUGGACUACUGAAAUCUAACGUGGCUGACGUCAAAGGAGCUUUUUUCUUCUCACGCUGUCUGCUGAAGUUUGGGACAACCCCCCGGGCUGUCGCAGCUGGGCCAAGUGCGCCGCACAAGUAAACCCGUAGUGAAACCGUGGCAGUGCCUUUCUGCUGGCGCUAUGAUGGAAAAUAAAGACCCCACUACACUUUUGAAUUGUAAAUUUUCACAUUAAAAUUCUCUCAGACAGCUCA